Molecule: long non-coding RNA, 713 nt
Filed under: Homo sapiens (human)
Lineage: Eukaryota; Metazoa; Chordata; Mammalia; Primates; Hominidae
Description: HSALNT0205750
Source: RNAcentral
CUGAAAAUAAUUGUGGUGCAGACAGCCUCUCUCUUCCCAUGGGUCUGUAAUAAUCAAAACAAUCUUUUGAAGCAAAUAGAACAAACUCAGAUUCUUUUUCCGUGUUGGAAUGGAGUUAUUUUCGUCAGCUUCCUCCAAUAUAAGACUUACUAAUAAGGAUUGCUUAGGCGCAGAGAACGCAGGCUGGCAUACUUUCUUCUGAGAUUUUCAGAGCACAUGCAGCACAGUGGGCUGCUUUCAUCCCAGGAAGGUGCCAGCCGUGGUGAUUGCUCUGAGGAAUGAAUGAGUGGUCUUCGCUAAUGAAGAUGGAGCCAUGUGCCAGACACUGGGUCUUAGUAUGUUGCCCACACUGGUCUCAAACUCCUGGACUCAAGCCGCAGCCUCCUGGACCCAGCUCAGCCUCCCAAAGUGCUGGGAUUACAGGUGUGAGCCACUGUGCCUGGCAAUAUAUCUGUUGUUUGUUUGUUUGUUUGUUUGUUGUUGUUUUUUGAGAUAGGGUCUCACUUUGUCACCCAGGCUGGAGUAGCUUGGCACGAUCCCGGUUUACUGCAGCCUCAACUUUCCCAGGCUUAGGUGAUUCUCCUGCCUCAGCCUCACGAGUAGCUGGGACUACAGGCCUGCGCCACCACGCCUGGCUAAUUUUUGUGUUUUUAGUAGAGAUGGGGUUUCACCAUGUUGGCCAAGCUGGUCUCUACUCCUGACCUCAAGUGAUC